UUUCUCUCUGUGCUGGCAGUAGUUAUCAGCCGCACCACCGAGUGAUUUUAUUUAUAUAUUUUAUUUCCCCUUUUUUUUUGGAAAACCAGUGAAAGUCACCUCAUAAUUUAGAAUAUUAAAGGAUCCGCCAGUUCUAGUCGGCCUUGGGAUCCUAAGGGAAGCUAAGUGCUUAGAAAACCCUCCUCCUACUGCUCAGACACCCUCCACACUCUGAAAUUACCCCAACCGGCUCAUAAUUGGGACCAGCUGGCAGGAUGAGAGAGGAGGCCCCUGCCCCGAGCCAGGAAUCGCGUUGCAAAUUUCAUCCCUAGAAAGAAGCUUGACUUGCUCCUUUAAGGGUUAAGAGGACCAAGUGUAUGCGAAAUAGCCCAGGCGACCCUGCCGGGCUACGGCCUCCGCCGAAUUUCACUUUACAGCCUGUCUUUCCAGAACUGGCAUCGUUAAUUUGUAUGCUGCCCGAAAGCUGUCCUUUUCCCAAAGCCCUCCUCACAAAGCAGAUGCAGACCUCCAGAAGUGCACCGGAAAUAGGAGUCAAUUUCAAGUGUCAGAAACCAAGACCCCUGACUGGUUCGGCAUCUGUCCCUGCAAGACUUAGAAAACCAACCCUGUGCUUAAGAGGGAGAAGUAGAGAUGAAAGAUGAAAGACGGAGCAGCGGAAUCAAGAGAAGGAAUUAGCAGAACAGGGUGAGGCAUCGUGGAAGCGUGGGGAGAAGGAAGGAGAGUCACGGUCGAGGGAGGAGUGGGGGGGGGAAGGCAAAGAAAAGAAUUGGCAAGUAACAAAGACCAGCCUAGAAGAGGUCUCUCACCUUGCUAACGCUAGUAAUAGGAGCCUUGAAGGAAAUUGCCAAAGUGGCCUCCCUGAGGUAUUUCUACGUUUCUAUUCUUGGCAGACAAUGUGGUUUCAAUGGUUUUCUGCGACUGUUUCAGGAACAACAGUUCCUUGAUUUGGACUUGCUCCUGGAGAGAAAUGAAGGUGUGAGCGUUUACUUCAUACAUUUAUCAAAUGUGCUGCAUGCUUGGGAGCGCACAGAUACAUGGGCACGCGUAUGCCUACUGUGAUAUGAUAAAUAUAUGCAUGAGGGAAAUGGGGCUCCGGCUCGUUGUAUAGGUGGGGAGAUUUUAUGGAACAAGCCUAUUUAAUAUGUCAAAGGGAAAACAUUACUUAUGACGCCCUAUUAGCACAUCAUUCGUCUUACUGGGAAGACAGAAUGAAGAAUAUUUAACAAUUAAUAGAAAUCAUAGGAAGAAUUAUGAUUAAGUGCCAUCUGCUGGCUUCUGUGGGUUUUAUUUUUAUGCAGCGUUGAGCCUGUCCUCAUAAUUAUCGAACGUCUCUCUUGCGCUGAG
RNAcentral lists this long non-coding RNA (1344 nucleotides) under Felis catus (domestic cat). RNAcentral describes it as "lncRNA (ENSFCAG00000041927.2)". Lineage: Eukaryota; Metazoa; Chordata; Mammalia; Carnivora; Felidae. The record is from RNAcentral.